This 930-nucleotide ribosomal RNA is filed under the name Staphylococcus pseudintermedius. RNAcentral's name for it is "partial 23S ribosomal RNA". It matches the Rfam family "Bacterial large subunit ribosomal RNA", at positions 380 to 1316 of the family's 2925-position model. Lineage: Bacteria; Bacillati; Bacillota; Bacilli; Caryophanales; Staphylococcaceae. The record is from RNAcentral.
CGAAAACGAAUUCUCUCUUGAGUGGAUCCUGAGUACGACGGAGCACGUGAAAUUCCGUCGGAAUCUGGGAGGACCAUCUCCUAAGGCUAAAUACUCUCUAGUGACCGAUAGUGAACCAGUACCGUGAGGGAAAGGUGAAAAGUACCCCGGAAGGGGAGUGAAAGAGAACUUGAAACCGUGUGCUUACAAGUAGUCAGAGCCCGUUAAUGGGUGAUGGCGUGCCUUUUGUAGAAUGAACCGGCGAGUUACGAUCUGAUGCAAGGUUAAGCAGAAAAUGUGGAGCCGUAGCGAAAGCGAGUCUGAAUAGGGCGAAUGAGUAUUUGGUCGUAGACCCGAAACCAGGUGAUCUACCCUUGGUCAGGUUGAAGUUCAGGUAACACUGAAUGGAGGACCGAACCGACUUACGUUGAAAAGUGAGCGGAUGAACUGAGGGUAGCGGAGAAAUUCCAAUCGAACUUGGAGAUAGCUGGUUCUCUCCGAAAUAGCUUUAGGGCUAGCCUCAAGUGAUGAUUAUUGGAGGUAGAGCACUGUUUGGACGAGGGGCCCCUCUCGGGUUACCGAAUUCAGACAAACUCCGAAUGCCAAAUAAUUUAACUUGGGAGUCAGAAUGUGGGUGAUAAGGUCCAUAUUCGAAAGGGAAACAGCCCAGACCACCAGCUAAGGUCCCAAAAUAUAUGUUAAGUGGAAAAGGAUGUGGCGUUGCCCAGACAACUAGGAUGUUGGCUUAGAAGCAGCCAUCAUUUAAAGAGUGCGUAAUAGCUCACUAGUCGAGUGACACUGCGCCGAAAAUGUACCGGGGCUAAACAUAUUACCGAAGCUGUGGAUUGUCCUUUGGACAAUGGUAGGAGAGCGUUCUAAGGGCGUUGAAGCAUGAUCGCAAGGACAUGUGGAGCGCUUAGAAGUGAGAAUGCCGGUGUGAGUAGCGAAAGA